AAUUAAAAAUAAUUAAUUUCUUAUGACUGCUUUUCAAUGGCUUCUUAUCUGUCAGGGACAGUUCCUAAUGGACAAAUACCUGUGUGGCAGCUGGAUCACCAAUGGCAUCUGCGGGUUGUUUUAGGAGUGGUGAAAGGAGUCACUGCAUUUACUAGGACUGAUCCACCACAGUCUCAGGAGAUCCUGUGAUAUGUGUGUUCUUCUCAGAAUCUAUAGAUCAUCUUACUUUGUGUGCAACUCAAAGUUUGCUGCUCUUAAAACUGAACUGAACUUGAAGGUCAGAAAGCAUAAAGGAGGAAGAGACUUCUUAGGAAAGACUGUUUCAGCAUGGAAUAACAGUGUGUCUUGCAGUAUCAAAGGAUUUUAUUCUUUAAAAUAAAGAAGCAAGUCCUCAGGAAAGAGGAAAGUACACUGCCACUUUCCAAGCUAUUUUCAGAAUGCGGAAAAGAAGGAUCCAUUCCAAGGGAAGAAAACCAGCUGGAGCCACAGCUGCACUUGCAGCAGAUGUCAAAGCCAUACUGCUCAUUGCCUUUAGAUAGACUAGAUUCCCAGAAGUGUUUGGAAGGAACAUGUGGAUGCCAUCUACCCCAUCUCCUGCUUGAAGCAGAACUUGUCCUGGAACUAUAUCAGAUCAGCCGUGACUUUGUCUAGCCAAGCCUGGAAAAAUUCCAGGGAUGAGGGUCCCUUUUGCCUUUCUCAGCAUGUGCAGUGUAACAUGAGUAGAAACAGAAGCUGAACAUAGUCUUUCCUUUUCCACAAGUUUUCUGCUUAGUAGGAAUACAAUCAGCAGAGGAGUAACUUGUUUUUCAAAUCAGGAAACUAAAUUUGCAACAGUUAAUCUUGUUGAUACAAAGUAAAUCAUGCUGUAAAGUGGUUUGUGUUGUAAUGUCUUGAUUCUC
This is a long non-coding RNA of Pseudopipra pipra, 899 nucleotides long. RefSeq lists it as uncharacterized. NCBI's taxonomy places the organism in Eukaryota, Metazoa, Chordata, Aves, Passeriformes, Pipridae. The record is from RefSeq and is a predicted model, not a curated record. The transcript is spliced from 3 exons.